RNAcentral lists this ribosomal RNA (429 nucleotides) under Pseudomonadota bacterium. Its description in RNAcentral is "Proteobacteria bacterium partial 16S ribosomal RNA". It matches the Rfam family "Bacterial small subunit ribosomal RNA", at positions 355 to 776 of the family's 1533-position model. The record is from RNAcentral. Lineage: Bacteria; Pseudomonadati; Pseudomonadota.
UGGGGAAUAUUGGACAAUGGGCGAAAGCCUGAUCCAGCCAUGCCGCGUGUGUGAAGAAGGUCUUCGGAUUGUAAAGCACUUUAAGUUGGGAGGAAGGGCAGUAAGCGAAUACCUUGCUGUUUUGACGUUACCGACAGAAUAAGCACCGGCUAACUCUGUGCCAGCAGCCGCGUUAAUACAGAUGGUGCAAGCGUUAAUCGGAAUUACUGGGCGUAAAGCGCGCGUAGGUGGUUCGUUAAGUUGAAUGUGAAAGCCCCGGGCUCAACCUGGGAACUGCAUCCAAAACUGGCGAGCUAGAGUAGGGCAGAGGGUGGUGGAAUUUCCUGUGUAGCGGUGAAAUGCGUAGAUAUAGGAAGGAACACCAGUGGCGAAGGCGACCACCUGGGAUCAUACUGACACUGAGGUGCGAAAGCGUGGGGAGCAAACAGG